Molecule: ribosomal RNA, 376 nt
Filed under: uncultured bacterium
Lineage: Bacteria
Description: bacterial SSU rRNA
Rfam family: Bacterial small subunit ribosomal RNA
Source: RNAcentral
CCAGCUGUAAACGGUGUACACUUGGUGUGGGGAGUAUUGACCCUCUCCGUGCCGGAGCUAACGCGUUAAGUGUACCGCCUGGGGAGUACGGCCGCAAGGCUAAAACUCAAAGAAAUUGACGGGGGCCCGCACAAGCGGAGGAGCAUGUGGCUUAAUUCGAUGCAACGCGAAGAACCUUACCAGGGCUUGACAUGCAGCUGCAAGUCCCGUGAAAGCGGGAUGCCUUCGAGGGUGCUGCACAGGUGCUGCAUGGCUGUCGUCAGUUCGUGCCGUGAGGUGUUAGGUUAAGUCCUGCAACGAACGCAACCCUUGUGUCUAGUUGCGACCGCCGGUGAUGAAUCGGUGAGCACUUUAGACAGACUGCUCGUAUAUGCGA